This 281-nucleotide ribosomal RNA is filed under the name Streptococcus pneumoniae. Its description in RNAcentral is "partial 16S ribosomal RNA". It matches the Rfam family "Bacterial small subunit ribosomal RNA", at positions 79 to 355 of the family's 1533-position model. Lineage: Bacteria; Bacillati; Bacillota; Bacilli; Lactobacillales; Streptococcaceae. The record is from RNAcentral.
UUGCUUCUCUGGAUGAGUUGCGAACGGGUGAGUAACGCGUAGGUAACCUGCCUGGUAGCGGGGGAUAACUAUUGGAAACGAUAGCUAAUACCGCAUAAGAGUAGAUGUUGCAUGACAUUUGCUUAAAAGGUGCACUUGCAUCACUACCAGAUGGACCUGCGUUGUAUUAGCUAGUUGGUGGGGUAAGGGCUCACCAAGGCGACGAUACAUAGCCGACCUGAGAGGGUGAUCGGCCACACUGGGACUGAGACACGGCCCAGACUCCUACGGGAGGCAGCAGU